RNAcentral lists this ribosomal RNA (731 nucleotides) under uncultured bacterium. RNAcentral's name for it is "bacterial SSU rRNA". It matches the Rfam family "Bacterial small subunit ribosomal RNA", at positions 771 to 1501 of the family's 1533-position model. The record is from RNAcentral.
AACAGGAUUAGAUACCCUGGUAGUCCAUGCCGUAAACGAUGAUUACUAAGUGUUGGAGGGUUUCCGCCCUUCAGUGCUGCAGCUAACGCAUUAAGUAAUCCGCCUGGGGAGUACGACCGCAAGGUUGAAACUCAAAAGAAUUGACGGGGGCCCGCACAAGCGGUGGAGCAUGUGGUUUAAUUCGAAGCUACGCGAAGAACCUUACCAGGUCUUGACAUCUUCUGCCAACCUAAGAGAUUAGGCGUUCCCUUCGGGGACAGAAUGACAGGUGGUGCAUGGUUGUCGUCAGCUCGUGUCGUGAGAUGUUGGGUUAAGUCCCGCAACGAGCGCAACCCUUAUUACUAGUUGCCAGCAUUCAGUUGGGCACUCUAGUGAGACUGCCGGUGACAAACCGGAGGAAGGUGGGGACGACGUCAAAUCAUCAUGCCCCUUAUGACCUGGGCUACACACGUGCUACAAUGGAUGGUACAACGAGUCGCGAAACCGCGAGGUUUAGCUGACCUCUUAAAACCAUUCUCAGUUCGGACUGUAGGCUGCAACUCGCCUACACGAAGUCGGAAUCGCUAGUAAUCGCGGAUCAGCAUGCCGCGGUGAAUACGUUCCCGGGCCUUGUACACACCGCCCGUCACACCAUGAGAGUUUGUAACACCCAAAGCCGGUGGGGUAACCUUUUAGGAGCUAGCCGUCUAAGGUGGGACAGAUGAUUAGGGUGAAGUCGUAACAAGGUAACC